AAAGCUGGCCACCCGAGCCAGCUGUGGCAGCCUGCUCAGGUCCCCUUCCACGCUGUGGAUGCUUUGUUCUUUCACUCAAUAAAUCUUGCUGCUGCUCACUCUUUGGGUCCGCACUACCUUUAUGAGCUGUAACACUCGCCACCGAGGUCUGCAGCUUCACUCCUGAAGCCAGCGAGACCAUGAACCCACUGGGAGGAACAAACAACUCCAGACGUGCCACCUUUAAGAGCUGUAAUGCUCACUGGGAAGGUCUGUGGCUUCACUCCUGAAGUCAGUGAGACCACGAACCCACCGGAAGGAAGAAACUCCAGACACAUCUGAACAUCUGAAGGAACAAACUCUGGACACACCAUCUUUAAGAACUGUAACACUCACCACGAGGGUCCGCUGCUUCAUUCUUAAAGUCAGCAAGACCAGGAACCCACUGGAAGGAACCAAUUCUGGACACAUUUUGUUGACCACGAAGGGACUAUCGCCUAUCACCAAGUGGUGAGUACCAUCAGACCCCUUUCACUUGCUAUUCUAUCCUAUUUUUCCUUCAAAUUCAGGGGCUAAAUACCAGGCACCUGUCGGCCAGUUAAAAGUGAUUAGCACGACCACCAGACUAAAGACAUGGGUGUCAGGCUUUCUGGGAAAGGGUUCUCUAACAACCCCCGACUCUUUGGAGUUGAGAGCAUUGGUUUGCCAACAAAGGCUUUGAAGGCCAAGAAGGCAGUGUUGAAAGGUGUCCACAGCCACAAAAAAAAGAUCUGCACGUCACCCACCUUCCAGCGGCCCUAGACACUGUGACUCCGGAGGCAGCCCAAAUGUCCUCAGAAGAGUGCCCCCAGGAGAAACAAGCUUGACCACUAUGCCGUCAAGAUUCCCCUGACCACUGAGUCUGCCAUGAAGAAGAUAGACGACAACACACUUGUGUUCAUUUGGUUGUUAAAAACAACAAGCACCAGAUCAAACAGGCUGUGUGACAUUGAUGUGGCCAAGGUCAACACCCUGAUUCACCCUGAUGGAGAGAAGAAGGCAUAUGUUCGACUGGCUCCGGAUUACAAGACUGUGUGAGGUCUCCCAGAAAAAGAAAAGAGAAGGACCAAGGACAGAGCCCAGAGUACACCAACAUUUAGAGGUCAGUUAAAAGAGAAAAAGAAACUGGAAUCACUGUGUUUCAUUACCCAGGUGUCUUAAAAACCAUAUAUAUACACGUGUCUAUAUAUACAUAUAUGUACUUAUAUAUACGUAUAUAUAAAUAUAUGUAUAUGUAUAUAUAUCCUGGGUGUUUUUGUUGUUGUUUUGUUUGUUGUUUGGUUGGUUUGAGACCGGGUCUUGCUGUUGCCCAGGCUGGACUGCAGUGGCAUGAUCAUGGCUCACUGCAUCCUCAAACACCUGGGCUCAAGCCAUCCUCCCACCUCAGCCUCCCAAGUAGCUGGGACUAUAGGUGUGCAUCACCAUGCCUGGCUAAUUUUUUAUUUUUUGUAGAGAUGAGGGCUUACUAUGUUGCCCAGGCUGGUCUCAAACUGCUGGGCUCAAGUGAUCCUCCUACCUUGGCCUCCCAAAGUGCUGGGACUGGUUUUUAAUGUUAUCUCUGAUCUUAUUACUCCAUCCUGUUUGGAAACGAAAGCCUUACUCAGCCAAAAUUAUGAAAAAACUGUGAAAACAAUUUUAAGUAUUUCACAAUCAAUGACAGAAUGAAAGACAAACUAUUUAGCUGUGGCCAAGAAAUUGAGUGGCAAUGGUUUCAUUGACAUCUUGGAAGAAGAUACUAGAAGAUUCAUUG
This 1768-nucleotide long non-coding RNA is filed under the name Homo sapiens (human). RNAcentral's name for it is "non-protein coding lnc-SLC25A36-1:1". The record is from RNAcentral. Lineage: Eukaryota; Metazoa; Chordata; Mammalia; Primates; Hominidae.